GGCGUCAGGACGAACGCUGGCGGCGUGCUUCAUACAUGCAAGUCGAACGAGAAUCUCACUUCGGUGAGAGGAAAGUGGCGGACGGGUGAGUAAUGUGUAGAGAAUCUGCCCUAGAGUGAGGGACAACAGAGGGAAACUUCUGCUAAUACCUCAUAUGCGCGUAGCUGAGAUGCUAUUCGUGAAAACUCCGGUGCUCUGGGAUGAGUCUGCAUCUGAUUAGCUAGUUGGGGGUGUAAUGGACCACCAAGGCGACGAUCAGUAGCUGGUUUGAGAGGAUGAUCAGCCACAAUGGGACUGAGACACGGCCCAUACUCCUACGGGAGGCAGCAGUAGGGAAUUUUGCGCAAUGGGGGGAAACCCUGACGCAGCAACGCCGCGUGAACGAAAAAGCCCUUCGGGGUGUAAAGUUCUGUCAGUGGGGACGAAACUUGACGGUACCCACAGAGGAAGCAUCGGCUAACUCCGUGCCAGCCGCCGC
This 478-nucleotide ribosomal RNA is filed under the name uncultured bacterium. Its description in RNAcentral is "bacterial SSU rRNA". It matches the Rfam family "Bacterial small subunit ribosomal RNA", at positions 20 to 518 of the family's 1533-position model. The record is from RNAcentral.